AUGUCCUCUAGAGUUCCCCUGUUCACUUCACUGGGGUUAUGUUGUCUGCUCUUCUUGGACCCUUAUUAAGGGAGGUCCCUGACCUACUGAAGUGUUUGGGGGAACUCUGGCUGCCAC
Molecule: non-coding RNA, 117 nt
Organism: Gossypium hirsutum (cotton)
Lineage: Eukaryota; Viridiplantae; Streptophyta; Magnoliopsida; Malvales; Malvaceae
Source: Rfam